AGAGUUUGAUCMUGGCUCAGGACGAACGCUGGCGGCGUGCCUAACACAUGCAAGUCGAACGGAGAAUUUCAAUAAGCUUGCUUAGAGAAAUUCUUAGUGGCGGACGGGUGAGUAACGCGUGGGUAACCUACCCAUAAAGCCGGGACAACCCUUGGAAACGAGGGCUAAUACCGGAUAAUCUUGAGAGCUGGCAUCAGCUUUUAAGGAAAGAUGGCCUCUGAGAAUGCUAUCGAUUAUGGAAGGACCCGCGUCUGAUUAGCUAGUUGGUGGGGUAAAGGCCUACCAAGGCGACGAUCAGUAGCCGGCCUGAGAGGGUGAACGGCCACACUGGGACUGAGACACGGCCCAGACUCCUACGGGAGGCAGCAGUGGGGAAUCUUCCGCAAUGGACGAAAGUCUGACGGAGCAACGCCGCGUGUAUGAUGAAGGUCUUCGGAUUGUAAAGUACUGUCUUUGGGGAAGAACGGUUUUCUUGAGAAGAUUGAGGAGACAUGACGGUACCCAAGGAGGAAGCCCCGGCUAACUACGUGCCAGCAGCCGCGGUAAUA
RNAcentral lists this ribosomal RNA (548 nucleotides) under uncultured bacterium. RNAcentral describes it as "SSU rRNA". It matches the Rfam family "Bacterial small subunit ribosomal RNA", at positions 8 to 525 of the family's 1533-position model. The record is from RNAcentral.